This is a long non-coding RNA of Cyprinus carpio carpio, 677 nucleotides long. NCBI's taxonomy places the organism in Eukaryota, Metazoa, Chordata, Actinopteri, Cypriniformes, Cyprinidae. The record is from Ensembl.
CCCGAUGCCGAGGCGGUGCCCGAUGCUGUUCUGGAGGCCAAGGCGGUGCCCGAUGCCGAGGCGGUGCCCGAUGCGGUUCCGGAGGCCGAGGCGGUGCCCGAUGCUGUUCCGGAGGCCGAGGCGGUGCCCGAUGCUGUUCCGGAGGCCGAGGCGGUGCCCGAUGCUGUGCCGGAGGCCGAGGCGGUGCCCUAUGCCAAGGCGGUGCCCGGUGCUGUUCCGGAGGCCGAGGCGGUGCCCGAUGCUGUUCCGGAGGCCGAGGCGGUGCCCGAUGCUGUUCCGGAGGCCGAGGCGGUGCCCGAUGCUGUUCCGGAGGCCGAGGCGGUGCCCGAUGCCGUGCCCGAGAUGGUUCCCGAGGCUGUUCCCGAUGUGGUGCCCAAGGCCGAGGCGGGGUCCACAGGCCGACCAGAGCAUCUUCACGUCUCCACAGGCCGUCCAGAGCAUCUUCACGUCUCCACAGGCCGUCCAGAGCACCUUCACGUCUCCACAGGGGCCCCGGAGUGGCAGGUUCCGUCCUGGCCGCUCAAAUGGCGGGUUCUUCCCUGGCCGUCUGCACAACCUGAACUUUCGGGUCCACCCUGGUCCCCUAAACUGACUGAUCCACCUUGGCUACCGGUGGAGCCAUCGCUUCCUGUCCCGGUUCCCCUACAUGGGCCUGGCCCUCCAUCCCUCCCCCUGUU